Molecule: long non-coding RNA, 116 nt
Organism: Sinocyclocheilus grahami
Lineage: Eukaryota; Metazoa; Chordata; Actinopteri; Cypriniformes; Cyprinidae
Exons: 3
Source: RefSeq, a predicted model, not a curated record
CCAAGUUUUGUACCAUUCUGGUGAAGCUACGAUUUUUACAAAUUCAAAAUGUAAAAUUCUCCAGUCAGAAGUGACCGAAGACCGCACAAGGGUAAAGGCUGUCUCUAAUUAUGAAG